UGCCUAAUACAUGCAAGUCGAGCGAACAGAUGAGAAGCUUGCUUCUCUGAUGUUAGCGGCGGACGGGUGAGUAACACGUGGGUAACCUACCUAUAAGACUGGGAUAACUCCGGGAAACCGGGGCUAAUACCGGAUAAUAUUUUGAACCGCAUGGUUCAAUAGUGAAAGACGGUUUCGGCUGUCACUUAUAGAUGGACCCGCGCCGUAUUAGCUAGUCGGUAAGGUAACGGCUUACCAAGGCGACGAUACGUAGCCGACCUGAGAGGGUGAUCGGCCACACUGGAACUGAGACACGGUCCAGACUCCUACGGGAGGCAGCAGUAGGGAAUCUUCCGCAAUGGGCGAAAGCCUGACGGAGCAACGCCGCGUGAGUGAUGAAGGUCUUCGGAUCGUAAAACUCUGUUGUUAGGGAAGAACAAAUUUGUUAGUAACUGAACAAGUCUUGACGGUACCUAACCAGAAAGCCACGGCUAACUACGUG
RNAcentral lists this ribosomal RNA (481 nucleotides) under uncultured bacterium. RNAcentral's name for it is "bacterial SSU rRNA". It matches the Rfam family "Bacterial small subunit ribosomal RNA", at positions 45 to 507 of the family's 1533-position model. The record is from RNAcentral.